ACAAGAUUCCAGAGCGCACGACGUCGAAGUUCAAAGAUGUGGCGAGUCCUCACAGACACGGGUCCAGCGGCGAUGGUCCGUCUGCUGUGAAGAUGUCCUUCAGCUCCAGCAGCAGCAGCAGCUCACACUCAGGUCUCUGUGUGCUGGACAGUGCAGCUCAUCCCAGCAGAAACGCUCAGACGUCACCGCAGAACCAGGUCAAUCUGAUCAUU
This is a long non-coding RNA of Sinocyclocheilus rhinocerous, 212 nucleotides long. RefSeq lists it as uncharacterized. The transcript is spliced from 3 exons. NCBI's taxonomy places the organism in Eukaryota, Metazoa, Chordata, Actinopteri, Cypriniformes, Cyprinidae. The record is from RefSeq and is a predicted model, not a curated record.